RNAcentral lists this unclassified non-coding RNA (330 nucleotides) under soil metagenome. Its description in RNAcentral is "partial contains 5.8S ribosomal RNA, internal transcribed spacer 2, and large subunit ribosomal RNA". The stretch from base 1 to 120 matches the Rfam family "5.8S ribosomal RNA", at positions 35 to 154 of the family's 154-position model. The record is from RNAcentral.
GAUGAAGAACGUAGCGAAAUGCGAUAAGUAAUGUGAAUUGCAGAAUUCAGUGAAUCAUCGAAUCUUUGAACGCACAUUGCGCCCGCCAGUAUUCUGGCGGGCAUGCCUGUCCGAGCGUCAUUUCAACCAUCAAGCCCCGGGCUUGUGUUGGGGACCUGCGUCCGACGCAGGCCCUGAAAACCAGUGGCGGGCUCGCUGUCCACACCGAGCGUAGUAACUAACCUCGCUAUGGAGUGGCGCGGGCGCCUGCCGUAAAACCCCCAAUUUCACAAGGUUGACCUCGGAUCAGGUAGGAAUACCCGCUGAACUUAAGCAUAUCAAUAAGGAGGA